This 74-nucleotide transfer RNA is filed under the name hydrothermal vent metagenome. Its description in RNAcentral is "tRNA-Thr-TGT". It matches the Rfam family "tRNA". From Rfam's summary of the family: Transfer RNA (tRNA) molecules are approximately 80 nucleotides in length. Their secondary structure includes four short double-helical elements and three loops (D, anti-codon, and T loops). The record is from RNAcentral.
GCUGAUGUAGCUCAGUUGGCUAGAGCAGCUGAUUUGUAAUCAGCAGGUCGGGGGUUCGAGUCCCUUCAUCAGCU